UCCUACGGGAGGCAGCAGUAGGGAAUAUUGCUCAGUGGGGGAAACCCUGAAGCAGCAACGCCGCGUGGAGGAUGAAGGUUUUCGGAUUGUAAACUCCUUUUGUUAGAGAAGAUAAUGACGGUAUCUAACGAAUAAGCACCGGCUAACUCCGUGCCAGCAGCCGCGGUAAUACGGAGGGUGCAAGCGUUACUCGGAAUCACUGGGCGUAAAGAGCGCGUAGGCGGGAUAGCAAGUCAGAUGUGAAAUCCUAUGGCUUAACCAUAGAACUGCAUUUGAAACUGUUAUUCUAGAGUAUGGGAGAGGUA
Molecule: ribosomal RNA, 305 nt
Filed under: uncultured bacterium
Lineage: Bacteria
Description: bacterial SSU rRNA
Rfam family: Bacterial small subunit ribosomal RNA
Source: RNAcentral